Molecule: ribosomal RNA, 459 nt
Filed under: uncultured bacterium
Lineage: Bacteria
Description: partial 16S ribosomal RNA
Rfam family: Bacterial small subunit ribosomal RNA
Source: RNAcentral
CCUACGGGUGGCGGGAGGGAGGAAUAUUGGUCAAUGGGCGGAAGCCUGAACCAGCCAAGUAGCGGGCGGGAUGAAGGCCCUACGGGUGGUAAACCGCGGUUGCACGGGGAUAACACCCGCCACGUGUGGAGGUCUGCAGGUACCGUGCGAAUAAGGGCCGGCUAAUUCCGUGCCAGCAGCCGCGGUAAUACGGAAGGGCCGAGCGUUAUCCGGAUUCAUUGGGCUUAAAGGGAGCGUAGGCGGGCGGUCAAGUCGGCUGUAAAAGCGCGCGGCUCCACCGCGCCCCGCAGUUGAAACUGGGCGCCUUGCGUUCACCACAGGCAGGCGGAAUUCGUGGUGUAGCGGUGAAAUGCUUAGAUAUCACGAGGAACCCCGAUUGCGAAGGCAGCCUGCCGGGGUGCGACUGACGCUGAGGCUCGAAAGUGCGGGUAUCAAACAGGAUUAGAUACCCGUGUAGUC